GUUGUAUUAUGUGUUCAGAGAAAUCUACACAAGAUAUUUCUUCCGGCUUCAUAGUAUAUCAUCUCAUCCACAGGGUAUUUUAUGCCUGAGUCUGUUAUUUGAGACACUACUACAAACGCAUGAACCAGAAUUAUUCUUUCAUCUCAAGUCAGUAGGCUGUCAACCAUUGAAAAUAGCAUUCAAAUGGCUGGUUAGAGCAUUUUCAGGGUAUUUGUCUAGCGACCAGGUUCUCCUGCUGUGGGACAGAGUCCUUGCUUAUAGCUCUUUAGAAAUCCUGCCAGUGUUGGCAGUGGCAAUAUUUUCAUUUAGAAAGACAAAUCUGCUCAAAGUCCAGUCCUAUAAUGCAGCUGAGGCUGUGCUGGCUGACCUUACAACCUUACAAGUGAUUCCUCUCAUUCAACUUGGAUUGUUUUCAAAAUGAACUGACAUUUUUCUCUUUGUAAUAAAAUCCUUUUUCAUGGUUGCAUUUUACAAAAAGUACAGAUGAAUUUUAAUAAUUGUAUAAUAUGUAUAUAUACAAAAUAAUACAACAUAUUUUAAUAUAUGUCUUAAAAAUUGAGCAGCCAAUACUAUUUUAUAAAUAGAGCCAUGGCAGGCUUUGUCCUAUUUCAAUACUGGUAGUAUAUUAGACAUGCUGGCUGUCUGUGAAAAUUAAGUGCUAAAUUCAUUCUUGAUAAUACUUUAAAAGAAUAGAAUUACACUUGGGAUCAUUAUACCUACUUUCAUUAUUUUGAUACAUAAAUUAUUUGUCGUUUUGUGUCAGUUGAAGUACUGGUGGUAUUGAGUAUGAAUAUUGAAAUUGAAUUCAAUGCAAAAUCUUCACUGCUUUGUGUGAUUUCUAAGUUUAAGUUAGUUUUUAUUAAGUGAAAUGUUAACCAUUAAGAACCUAAAAGGAAGCGACCGUAACGAGCGACGGUGGGUUCUUAAUUGUUAAAAAGUUAACUAUGUAAAACCUAACUUACUCAAUGUUUAACCUCAUUUGACAUCGCUGGAACGCCUUGAGCCUAUAGAAAGCUGUUUUCCAUACGAUGGGAGGAGUUUAGGGUGCAUAUUUUAUCUAUCAAUUACGUCAUUCAAUAUAUAAGUCUUGUAUUUACAUCGUGUAGCACUUAAUUUCUUUAAGGUUGCAA
Long non-coding RNA from Ruditapes philippinarum (Manila clam), 1130 nucleotides. RefSeq lists it as uncharacterized. The transcript is spliced from 5 exons. The record is from RefSeq and is a predicted model, not a curated record. Lineage: Eukaryota; Metazoa; Mollusca; Bivalvia; Venerida; Veneridae.